Molecule: microRNA precursor, 118 nt
Filed under: Lutzomyia longipalpis
Lineage: Eukaryota; Metazoa; Arthropoda; Insecta; Diptera; Psychodidae
Description: microRNA mir-999
Rfam family: mir-999 microRNA precursor family (bases 19-101)
Source: RNAcentral
UACGAUGGAGUAUUGAAAGCCACCAACGGGGACAUAGUCAUACAGAAAAUAUUGUGUUAAAUCGCAAAUGUUAACUGUAAGACUGUGUCUCUAUUGAUGUUGGCACACAUCAACCAUA